This 469-nucleotide ribosomal RNA is filed under the name uncultured bacterium. Its description in RNAcentral is "bacterial SSU rRNA". It matches the Rfam family "Bacterial small subunit ribosomal RNA", at positions 28 to 496 of the family's 1533-position model. The record is from RNAcentral.
GACGAACGCUGGCGGCGUGCCUAACACAUGCAAGUCAACUUGACUGAAGGAGCAAUCUGACAGUAGAGUGGCGCAAGGGUGCGUAACGCGUAAGUAACUUGCCCCAAGGUAAGGAAUAACGUCGAGAAAUCGGCGCUAAUACCUCAUAAUGCAGCGGAUCCGCAUGGAUAUGUUGUUAAAGGUUUACCGCCUUGGGAUAGGCUUGCGUCUGAUUAGCUAGUUGGUGUGGUAACGGCACACCAAGGCUACGAUCAGUAACUGGUCUGAGAGGAUGAUCAGUCACACUGGAACUGAGACACGGUCCAGACUCCUACGGGAGGCAGCAGUGAGGAAUAUUGGGCAAUGCUCGAAAGAGUGACCCAGCAACGCCGCGUGGAGGAUGAAGGUAUUCUAUAUCGUAAACUCCUGUGAGAGCAGACGAAAGACAGAUUAUUAAUCUGGAUGACUGUAUGCUCAGAGGAAGCCCCGG